Molecule: long non-coding RNA, 3280 nt
Organism: Felis catus (domestic cat)
Lineage: Eukaryota; Metazoa; Chordata; Mammalia; Carnivora; Felidae
Exons: 3
Source: RefSeq, a predicted model, not a curated record
CGGGCGCGCACGGGAGAGGCGUGGGCUUCCCGGGCGCAGCCGCCCGCGCCCCGCGUCCGCGCGCGGGAGGAGGCGGCGGGCGGCCCAGCCCUGCCCCGCGGGCGCCCGCGUCCCGCCGUCCCGUCCCCGCCGCGCCGGCGGCAGCGCCCCCUCGCGGCGUCCGGGUGGGGGGGGGGACCCGGCUCUCUGGGACCCCGGGGCGCGCCGCGCCCGGCCCCUUUCGGCUCGCUGGGUCCCGCCGCCGCCCCGGCCCCGCUCGCGUCUGCCCGCCUCCUUCCGCCGGGAGCUGGCGGCCGGCCGAGCCGGGAGGGCGAGGCGCUCACCCCCACAGGAAGCGCUGAGUAAAUGUGCAACUGCGAGAAACUUUGAGAGGAGGGAAGCGGCGGCCGCGGUCCCGCCCCCCUGCCUUCCGCCCGCGUUCCGCCGGCCCCGCGCGCCCCGCUCGCCCCGCGCGGGCGCCGCCGGCUGGAGGCGAGCGGGUGGCCCGGCGUCCGGGCCGCUCGCUCGUCGCGCACCCCGGCGCCCCGCGGGCGGGGGCGAGGGACGGUGUCCCCACCACGUCCGCGGGGUCUUCCGGCCGUGCCCUGGUCUCCCGGGCUGAGACGCCAACUUGGCACCAGCCCCUUCUACGGAGUCCUGGGCCAGCAAGGGAGGAUCGGGGUGCCCGGCUGGGCCCUCAGUGUGUGCGGUCGUGGCGUGGGGGAGGCGGUGGGGACGCUCCCCAAUCUUGGGUCGCUAUGGGGGAAAAUCAGAGAACACUUCUGGAGACCAUGCUUGUCGGGUCUGCUGCUGCCGUUUAUGCCCCUUCCCUUUUUUCCUCCCGUUCUCCUCGCAAGGGUAUUUUCUCCACCGUAUCGUAAAAGGAUGGGGCAGAAGUUAAAAAAAAAAAAAAAUCACCGUAAUGGACGUGUAUGAUGAGACUUGUUCAAGGUUGAAAGCUUGGGGGAAGAAUUGCUCCCUUUUCAGUGUUCUCAGGGUUAUUUGUCCUCUAACCCGGACUUUUGGGUUUCCAGUCGGUUAAAAGGCAGUAAUGUCAGAUUUUUAGAAAUGGCAGAAUGGUGCAACUUAGGAAAAGACGUAGCGUUAUUGCACAUUGCUUUUCGGUAGCCCACCGGAACCUUUACAGCACGUUUUUUUAAUUUGGAUUUAAACUCUUCGAAUGGGGGCCUUAUUUGCGUCCCCGCCCCGGCAUUUCUAUAGGCGCUCACUACGUGUGGGAAAAUCUAGUGAGAUUAAUUGUUAAUUAAUUGUUCACAUGCAUGAUUAAGUAAGCAACAAUGCAAUUAAAAGCAUUCGGGCACCUUGGGCAGAGAAAGCUGUAAUUGACGGUGGUGAGCAACUAAACUUGGAGAUCUGCUUCAGUGGAAGAAUGCAUCGCUGGCCGGGGCAGCUCUGGGGGAAGGGGAGGUUGGAGGGGUGGGAGGUUGACUGGGUGACUCUUGGCUGCAUCACUUGGCUUGCUGCCUGGGAGUUUUGCACCUAAGCAAAUGGGGUGGGUGGUAGCCGAAAUUGGCAUUCUAUUUAUAGCACUGCACUUUAUAAUGCUGUACUGGGGAUAUAAUAUUUGUAUAUAAUAUAUUCAAUAUAUGGGCUGAAACACAUUUAAAUGUAUUGCUACGCGUAUCUAUUUUGCACUGCACUUAAGGGAAUAGCUGCACUGCCCAAACUUGAUAGUACGUUAAAGGACAGUCAGAAUGAACCAGAAUGUCAACACAUUUUUAGAGAUGUCUAUUAACAUUGUGAAGUUGUCAGAUAAGCACAAUAAAUAAGACGUAAAACCUAUUAAAAGGUCCCUGGGAGACAUUUGGCUCUGUGAACUGGCUUUCAUGGAUUUCAAGAAUACAGGAAGCUGUGUUCUUCGAGGUCUGAAGUAAAUCACGGGUUCAGUUUAUUGAGCUCUGCUUUGGUGGCGUUGGGGGAGCACCAAGACGUAAAAAGAUGCGGUGCCCGCUCUGUAAAUCUCGGAAUCCGGAAUCUUGGAAUCUUGCUAAAACGAGAGAUUAUGACAGGAGUUCUGACGCAUGUGAACAAUCCUGAUGGGUGAAAAAUACUCUAAAUAUCCCCUUAGAAGUUUGGCCUGGGUAUAUAUAGUUUAGUUUUCCCACAAACUGUAGCAUAUUCAUUUGAGUUUUCAGAGAAGAGUCAAUAUAGAAAAUUUAUUUUAAAUCCAUAUGAUUAUACAGAUCAAAUUCACUGUAACUUCAAUUCUAAAGUCCAGUGCCAGUUCUAGAAUCAGAUUUAUUCACACCUCUGCGCCAGCCGCUGUGUGGCUUCUAGUGAGUUUGAGCUCCGUUUUCUCCUAGAAAACAGGAGGCAUAGACUAGAUAAAAUACCAGAACUUUGCCAUUUCUUACAGUUUUAACAGACUGAUCUAUUGUGGCAGAGGCUGCUCUCUGCUUACCCAGUAAUCCCUAGUUCCUUCUUUUCCAGACUAAGAAAGCCUAUUAGAUAAUCAGGAGUGUCACCUGACUGCAUUUGGAGAUAGGAUCUUCAAGGAGUAUAAUUAAGGUUAAAUGAUGUCAUAAGGGUGGGGCCCAAAUCCGACAGGGCCUGUGUCCUUAUCGUCCUUAUCCUUCUUGGAAGAGGAAGGGACACCAGGGAUGCAUACAGAGGAAAGGCCAUGUGAGGACACCGUAAGAAGACUGCUACCUACAAGCCAGGGAAAGGGGUCUCCGCAGAAACCAACCCCGUUGGCACCUUGAUUUGGGACUUCUAGCUUCCAGAACUUUGUUUGGGUUUUCGAUUACACGCAGCCAGCCUAAUCCUAAUUGAUAACAUCUGUGAAGAAGCUCAUUUGAACCAAAGGAAUUAAGAGGCGGCCAGUGGGGACGUGUGGGACCAGUGAGGAGGCUGUUGGAAUCGACCACGGGAGGGAUGAUUAACACUCUCUAAGACACGGCGAUUGAUGGGUACAGUGGGCUGAGAGGAAGGCGGGGGUCACGCAUGAAUCAGGUUUCUGUCAUGAGCUGUGGGCGGCUCCUGGUGCUGUUUACUGAUACAGGCGCUAAUGGAGAAGGACCAGAUUUAAACAGGUUUUUUUCUUUUUAUUGUAGCUAAAUAACAUGAAAUUUCUCUUAACCAUUUGUAAGUGUACAGUUCUGUGGCAUUAAGUACCCAGACGUUUUUCUAAAAUUUAAUGUUAGAGGGAGGUGAGGAUGACGAGUUUAGUUUGGACAAGUUGAGUUUGGGGUGCGUGUGAGAUAGUCAGGUUCCAUGUCAGGUGGGCAGUUAGAUUUGUGGGUCUGGAGCUCAUAGGAGAGCUUGGCUGUGGAGAGACAUG